UGUGGCGAAGGCGCUCGGCUGGAACGGGUCGACGGUGAGGGACGAAGGCCUGGGGAGCGAACCGGAUUAGAUACCGGGUAGUCCAGGCUGUAAACGAUGCGGGCUAGGUGUCACCGGAGCUACGAGCCCCGGUGGUGCCGGAGGGAAGCCGUUAAGCCCGCCGCCUGGGAAGUACGGCCGCAAGGCUGAAACUUAAAGGAAUUGGCGGGGGAGCACUACAACGGGUGGAGCCUGCGGUUUAAUUGGAUUCAACGCCGGGAAGCUUACCGGGGGAGACAGCGGGAUGAAGGUCGGGCUGAAGACCUUACCAGACUAGCUGAGAGGUGGUGCAUGGCCGCCGUCAGUUCGUACUGUGAAGCAUCCUGUUAAGUCAGGCAACGAGCGAGACCCGCGCCCUCAGUUGCCAGCGGGUCCCUUCGGGGACGCCGGGCACACUGAGGGGACUGCCGGCGCUAAGCCGGAGGAAGGUGCGGGCAACGGCAGGUCCGUAUGCCCCGAAUCCCCCGGGCUACACGCGGGCUACAAUGGCCGGGACAAUGGGUACCGACCCCGAAAGGGGUGGGUAAUCUCCUAAACCCGGUCUAACCUGGGAUCGUUGGGCUGCAACUCGCCCUCGUGAACCUGGAAUCCGUAGUAAUCGCGUCUCAAAUG
RNAcentral lists this ribosomal RNA (651 nucleotides) under uncultured archaeon. RNAcentral describes it as "bacterial SSU rRNA". It matches the Rfam family "Archaeal small subunit ribosomal RNA", at positions 662 to 1311 of the family's 1478-position model. The record is from RNAcentral.